RNAcentral lists this non-coding RNA (78 nucleotides) under Enorma phocaeensis. RNAcentral describes it as "aspS RNA". It matches the Rfam family "aspS RNA". The record is from RNAcentral. Lineage: Bacteria; Bacillati; Actinomycetota; Coriobacteriia; Coriobacteriales; Coriobacteriaceae.
CCGGACUGCGCUGUUUACGUAGCCCGGCGAUCUGUACGGCGCCGCCCGCUCCGGCACGGGGCGGCACAGAUUCGAGGA